RNAcentral lists this ribosomal RNA (336 nucleotides) under uncultured Pseudomonadota bacterium. RNAcentral describes it as "bacterial SSU rRNA". It matches the Rfam family "Bacterial small subunit ribosomal RNA", at positions 29 to 351 of the family's 1533-position model. The record is from RNAcentral. Lineage: Bacteria; Pseudomonadati; Pseudomonadota.
AACGAACGCUGGCGGCGUGCUUAACACAUGCAAGUCGAACGUGAUUGAGAGCUUGCUCUCAUGAAAGUGGCGCACGGGUGAGUAACACGUGGAUAAUCUGCCUGGCGAUUCGGGAUAACACUUCGAAAGGGGUGCUAAUACCGGAUAAGCCCACAGUCUCUUCGGAGGGUGCGGGAAAAGGGGGCCUCUGUAUAUGCUCCUGUCGCUAGAUGAGUCCGCGGCCCAUUAGCUAGUUGGUAGGGUAAUGGCCUACCAAGGCUACGAUGGGUAGCUGGUCUGAGAGGAUGAUCAGCCACACUGGAACUGAGACACGGUCCAGACUCCUACGGGAGGCAG